Molecule: non-coding RNA, 2227 nt
Organism: Equus caballus (horse)
Lineage: Eukaryota; Metazoa; Chordata; Mammalia; Perissodactyla; Equidae
Source: RefSeq, a predicted model, not a curated record
AAAAGCACUGUAUAAAAUGUAAGAGAGAAUUAUGUAUGCAUGUAGUCCCAUUAACCUUGGUAAUUGAGACUUGGUUGUAGAUUUAAAAUAUAAUUAGUUUUGAUAGAACAGUAGCUCACACUUUUCUAAUGGGUAGAGCCAGACAAGGCUUAGAAAAUGUGCCUUUGGUAGAUUUUAUUUUUGAGCCAUCAAUUCAAGACAAAGCUUACAAUCCCUUCAGAGGCUAAAAGGGUGGCAGUAGUGGUGAUUUCUCAUCAACAAGUCAGAAUAGGCAAAUGGUCUUAAAUGAUUGAAUUUUCUUGUUUCAAAUUUCAGGACAAUGAGAAUACAGUUUCCUCCGAAAAAAUCUUAGGCUGAUCUUGGAAGAAAGACCCCCUGGAUCAUCUAAAAAUAAACUUUUCUAUUUAAAGAUGAAAAAACAGAAGCAAAACCAUUAAGCGCCUUCCCCAAGGUCUUAAAAGAAGUCACCAAGAAGGUGGUGUGGCUCAAGUCUCCUGACUCCAGUUUACUAUUCCCCACAAUAAUGUUGGAAAACCACAUUGGAAUGGGAAGACUCAUUCCAAGUACUGCUGUCACACCAGCAAGCUUCAAAGAAGCCUGAGGUGAGAUGUCUGGCCAUGUUGCUGGUGCCGUCGCCCUCAAGAAGCCAAACAGGCUCUCAGAGUUUCUCAGGCCCUGCCCUCGGACGUGGCCCCACCCCAGAGCAUGCUGGGCAGGACCUCCCCAUAGAUCCCUCCCAUUGCCAAUGUAUUCCUCCAGAGGAUUCUGAGCUCUGCUUGGUGUUUCCAGCUGUGAUGAGGUAAAUGUAGUCUUGGUCCUCUGGAAAAGUAGAUAAUUAAGGCAGAUAGUCCACACAUGUGAAAGUGUUGUGACUUGGAAAGGGCGGGCAGAUCCCAGGUUGGGAAGAUUAAGGAAAGCAUUGAGGGAAACCUUUCAGUAUGGUGGGAGGGAAGGAGGAAAGAAGAGAUGGAGGACCUCAUUUUGGUUUUGGUUUUGUUUUGUUUUGAAGUUUUUAUGAAGAAAAGUUCCCAUCUGAUGACUUCUCUGUUUCCCUCUGGUGGUCCAGCACAUAUGAUCAAUGAGCGAGGAGUGUGGACAAGGUGUAGGAAAGUGGAAUUGUUUUGAGAACUUAGGCAAGUGAGUUGACUGAGAAAACAAUCGCAGAAGCUCCCCCGAGACAGGGCCUCUGUUUGUUGCCUCCACUGGGUGUCCCAAGUGCUUGGAAGAGCGUCUGGCACAUGGUAACACAGGAGGAAUGACUGGAUUCUGAGGCAGUGGUGGAGCUGAGCAACAGAUGUAGAACAGAAGUUUAUGGGGCACAAACACACUUGUGUGAUUUUAUCCAAGAGGAAGCAGGCCCUUAUUUGAAGGCAGUUUUAAAACAGGCAGAGUUGGAUUUUGCUAGACAGGACGAAUGAAAGAAGGGGGUAGGCUGUUUAGAGCAGAGCAGUAUAUUUAGGUUUAGGAUUAAGUGAUGCCCCACGAAGUUUUCCUUGGAGAGAGAGGAAAUGAAGACAAAGGUUGUCAGGUGAGUAGGGGAAAGUAUAGAGUGGCUUGUAGUUCCUGAAUAGUUUAAGGAAUUAGCAUGCUGAGGGCAUAAGCUGAGAGGAUAAAGGGUGGAAUGUCAGACUGUAUUUUUUCAGAACACACAAGUGUUGCUGGUGUUAAGUUCUAGGAUAUGGCCAUAACUGAACUGGAAUGAAGGUAAAGGACUCUAAGAUGAGAAGGAGCAGACAGUGAGAGAUCAGAUCAUUGGAUGGUCUAUCCGCAUGGAUGUUGGGGCCUCUGAUUGAUUCCUUCCACUUUGAGUUCCUUUCCUGUCCUCCACAGAAUUGGCAUUUCCUCUAACUCUAACCUUCAGUCCAUGGCAUGACUCUGGACAAGAAGGCAGAAAUGGGGUGGUGAGAGAGAGGGCUGAAGUAGACAUCCGUUUUGUUUUUGUUUUUAUUUUGACACUCAGCAUUCACUCACCUUCUAAAAAUAGUCCUUCUUUUGCCCUCUGGGGAUCUAACCCCGUUGUCAGUUUCAGUCCAUGUCAAGUGGAGUUGUUUAUCACUAACGCUCUUACUUUAAAGGAGGGCAUUGAAGUCAGGCUUGACCAAAAAGAUUGGUCCAUGCUUUUGGCAACAGUGAUUGGUCAGGGAUGGGCAUGUGACCCAACUGGAGACAAUAAGGCACAGUGGGACUUUUGAAGGGACUAGUGGGAGAAACAACCCAUUUUUAGCUU